GGGGCUAUAGCUCAGUUGGCAGAGCGCGUCCAUGGCAUGGACGAGGUCCAGGGUUCAAUUCCCUGUAGCUCCA
This 73-nucleotide transfer RNA is filed under the name uncultured Acidimicrobiales bacterium. Its description in RNAcentral is "tRNA-Ala-GGC". It matches the Rfam family "tRNA". Rfam says of the family: Transfer RNA (tRNA) molecules are approximately 80 nucleotides in length. The record is from RNAcentral. Lineage: Bacteria; Bacillati; Actinomycetota; Acidimicrobiia; Acidimicrobiales.